CCCUACGGGGCGCAGCAGUAGGGAAUCUUCCACAAUGGGCGAAAGCCUGAUGGAGCAACGCCGCGUGGGUGAAGAAGGUCUUCGGAUCGCAAAACCCUGUUGUUAGAGAAGAAAGUGCGUGAGAGUAACUGUUCACGUUUCGGCGGUAUCUAACCAGAAAGCCACGGCUAACUACGUGCCAGCAGCCGCGGUAAUACGUAGGUGGCAAGCGUUAUCCGGAUUUAUUGGGCGUAAAGGGAACGCAGGCGGGCUUUUAAGUCUGAUGUGAAAGCCUUCGGCUUAACCGGAGUAGUGCAUUGGAAACU
Molecule: ribosomal RNA, 305 nt
Filed under: uncultured bacterium
Lineage: Bacteria
Description: bacterial SSU rRNA
Rfam family: Bacterial small subunit ribosomal RNA
Source: RNAcentral